This 107-nucleotide small nuclear RNA is filed under the name Dasypus novemcinctus (nine-banded armadillo). Lineage: Eukaryota; Metazoa; Chordata; Mammalia; Cingulata; Dasypodidae. The record is from RNAcentral.
GUGCUCAUUUCAACAGCACAUUUACUAAAACUGGAACAAUACAUAGAAGUUGAGUGUGGCCUCUCUGAAAGUACAGCAUGCAAAUACAUGUAGCAAUCCAUAUUUUU